Molecule: ribosomal RNA, 581 nt
Filed under: bacterium SL5.31
Lineage: Bacteria
Description: bacterial SSU rRNA
Rfam family: Bacterial small subunit ribosomal RNA
Source: RNAcentral
AGUCGAACGGGGUAGAGCAGCAAUGCUUUACUUUAGUGGCGCACGGGUGCGUAACGCGUAUGCAACCUACCUCUUAUUGGGGGAUAGCCCACCGAAAGGUGGAUUAAUACCGCAUACUACCAGUUGAGGGCAUCUGAGACUGGUGAAAGCCUUCGGGCGAUAGGAGAUGGGCAUGCGUGCCAUUAGCUAGUUGGUAGUGUAACGGACUACCAAGGCGACGAUGGCUAGGGGUUCUGAGAGGAUGGUCCCCCACACUGGUACUGAGACACGGACCAGACUCCUACGGGAGGCAGCAGUAGGGAAUAUUGGGCAAUGGACGAGAGUCUGACCCAGCCAUGCCGCGUGCAGGAAGAAGGCCUUCUGGGUUGUAAACUGCUUUUAUCUAGGAAGAAAACGCCCUUGCGAGGGUAACUGACGGUACUAGAUGAAUAAGCACCGGCUAACUCCGUGCCAGCAGCCGCGGUAAUACGGAGGGUGCAAGCGUUGUCCGGAUUUAUUGGGUUUAAAGGGUGCGUAGGCGGCCCAUUAAGUCAGAGGUGAAAUCCCGUGGCUCAACCACGGAACUGCCUUUGAUACUGGUG